CAGAUCAACUGAUCAGGGCCCUCGUCGAGAAACGGCCGGGUGCCGAUGGUAAAAUAACGCUCGGUUUGGACUUCAUUGAUCUGGAAAGCAUUUAAGUUUUUAUUAAGGCGAUGCCACCUGAUGCUCCUUCAUGUUCCACUGCCGUUUCCUGUGGCAACCACGUUUACGUUAUUGGGGGAAUACGCAAAAAUGAUGCUACUCCUUUUGAUGUAAACGAUGUUUUCCAAUUAGAUUUGAAGGACCUUGAACGUGGGUGGAGAAAAACUACUUCUAUGUUGUUCCCUCGGUCUUUGCCCCUGGUUGCUGCUGCUGAAGGAAAGAUUUUCGUCUUCGAAAAUAUGGGUUCUGAAUCUUUUGGCGAGGUUUACAAUAUAAGUGGGGAUAUUUGGG
Molecule: long non-coding RNA, 390 nt
Filed under: Gossypium raimondii (Peruvian cotton)
Lineage: Eukaryota; Viridiplantae; Streptophyta; Magnoliopsida; Malvales; Malvaceae
Description: long non-coding RNA (GRAI_LNC001714)
Source: RNAcentral